AUUGAACGCUGGCGGCAGGCCUAACACAUGCAAGUCGAGCGGAUGAAGGGAGCUUGCUCCUGGAUUCAGCGGCGGACAGGGGAGUAAUGCCUAGGAAUCUGCCUGGUAGUGGGGGAUAACGUCCGGAAACGGGCGCUAAUACCGCAUACGUGCUGAGGGAGAAAGUGGGGGAUCUUCGGACCUCACGCUAUCAGAUGAGCCUAGGUCGGAUUAGCUAGUUGGUGGGGUAAAGGCCUACCAAGGCGACGAUCCGUAACUGGUCUGAGAGGAUGAUCAGUCACAAUGGAACUGAGACACGGUCCAGACUCCUACGGGAGGCAGCAGUGGGGAAUAUUGGACAAUGGGCGAAAGCCUGAUCCAGCCAUGCCGCGUGUGUGAAGAAGGUCUUCGGAUUGUAAAGCACUUUAAGUUGGGAGGAAGGGCAGUAAGUUAAUACCUUGCUGUUUUGACGUUACCAACAGAAUAAGCACCGGCUAACUUCGUG
RNAcentral lists this ribosomal RNA (484 nucleotides) under uncultured bacterium. Its description in RNAcentral is "partial 16S ribosomal RNA". It matches the Rfam family "Bacterial small subunit ribosomal RNA", at positions 30 to 507 of the family's 1533-position model. The record is from RNAcentral.